AAUCUCUGGUCACACCAUAGUUUACAUUUGGGCAGCUUAAAAAAAACAAAAACAUGCUGAUUCGCGAAUUGCUUGCUUUUUACCAAUAAGGGGCCCAAUCUAUGCGUUAAUUCCUGGGAAAGUUGCCACAAUGUAUUCCCAAAGAGGUAGCCGAAAUUUCAACAUCAUUUUGGGAUCUUUGAUCAACGGAAACCACGACGUUAGACUCGACAACGUAAUCACAAUUGCAAACGCCGCUACUAUUGAUCAACAAUGGAUUCCAAGCGAGGGCGAGAUUUCAGUGUAGCUAUGACAUCGAAUAAUUGAAGAUACAUCUCCAACUCCAGCCGUGGAAUUUCUUGUGUAAGGAUCUGGUGAUAAUUAUGAAUUUGACUUGCGAAUUCAUAAAAACCCUGCUCUGCGUUCCAAAUUAGUCAGCUAAAAAGCGAGAAUCGCCACAUUUAGCCUUAGAAUAUGCAUUAAAGCUAAACUUCAUCCGCUUCUCCAACUUUGGCUCCAUCUUCAGCUCCAUCGUCGUCGCCUUGAAUUUUGCGUAGUU
Long non-coding RNA from Drosophila sechellia, 538 nucleotides. RefSeq lists it as uncharacterized. NCBI's taxonomy places the organism in Eukaryota, Metazoa, Arthropoda, Insecta, Diptera, Drosophilidae. The record is from RefSeq and is a predicted model, not a curated record. The transcript has 4 exons.